Molecule: long non-coding RNA, 674 nt
Filed under: Gallus gallus (chicken)
Lineage: Eukaryota; Metazoa; Chordata; Aves; Galliformes; Phasianidae
Source: RNAcentral
UGCUUCCCUGCACAGUCCCUGAGCAGCCUCAAUUCUGUCCUUUUGGUAUUCCCCUUCCUUCCCCUUUGUUUCUUUUGCCCAGUUUCUUGUCUGUGGUGCAAGGGGAAUGCCUUCACCCAUUGUCCUCCUUCCUCCCGGCACAGGUUCCCAAUAAGCCCACUUGCAUACUCACAGAGCCCCAGGCUGAGCAGGAGGAGCAGUGCAGGAGACCCGGCCAUCAUCCUCGAGGCGAUGCUGUGGAGCGCGGCUGAUCUUUCUCACUGAAGUUUGGAGGCAGCGUAACUUAUAGGAGAGGAUGUGAUGUCAUCUGGACCCUCUUCUGUGAAGAGGUGUUGUUCCGAAAAGAAUGAUUUCUGCGGCACUUCAUUUGUGAUCCCGAACUUGGACUCAUUUACUGUAAUAGCGUUUGUAGUGGUGCCUCAUCGAUUUUGCUCCGUUGUCUUCAGCUGAGGUUCAGACAGUGGUCCUGCCUGAAAUCAAAUCAGCCACCACAAACUGCAGUCUCGCAGCCAUUUCGGGCGCUCUCAUCAUGUCCACAUUUGCAGAAAACAAGGAUAAUUCCCGUGCCAUUGAGAUGGGCUGCAAGUUGUGUUUUAUGCAGGAGGCUUUAUUUUAGCAUAUUCUGCUAUUCUAUUUUCAGAUUGAUCCAUGUGCGCUUGUCAUCUCAGGGUCCA